GCUUGAUUAGCUCAGUUGGUUAGAGCGAUCGGCUGUUAACCGAUUGGUCACAGGUUCGAGUCCUGUAUCAGCCCCA
RNAcentral lists this transfer RNA (76 nucleotides) under Microcoleaceae cyanobacterium UBA10368. RNAcentral's name for it is "tRNA-Asn". It matches the Rfam family "tRNA". From Rfam's summary of the family: Transfer RNA (tRNA) molecules are approximately 80 nucleotides in length. Their secondary structure includes four short double-helical elements and three loops (D, anti-codon, and T loops). RNAcentral also lists the same sequence under 1 other name. Lineage: Bacteria; Bacillati; Cyanobacteriota; Cyanophyceae; Oscillatoriales; Microcoleaceae. The record is from RNAcentral.